This 153-nucleotide ribosomal RNA is filed under the name Triticum aestivum (bread wheat). RNAcentral describes it as "partial small subunit ribosomal RNA". The record is from RNAcentral. Lineage: Eukaryota; Viridiplantae; Streptophyta; Magnoliopsida; Poales; Poaceae.
AUGAAAGCAUUAUUCUGGAACAUCAGGGGUUUUGGUGCUAGGGGGCGCCGAGACCAGAUUAUUGAUCUAGUUCGUGGGGAUAAUAUUGAUAUUGUUGGGUUAGUUGAAACCUUUAAAGACUCCUUCUCUCCCAAUGAACUUUCUGCGAUUGCG